RNAcentral lists this unclassified non-coding RNA (339 nucleotides) under soil metagenome. RNAcentral describes it as "partial contains 5.8S ribosomal RNA, internal transcribed spacer 2, and large subunit ribosomal RNA". The stretch from base 1 to 120 matches the Rfam family "5.8S ribosomal RNA", at positions 35 to 154 of the family's 154-position model. The record is from RNAcentral.
GAUGAAGAACGUAGCGAAAUGCGAUAAGUAAUGUGAAUUGCAGAAUUCAGUGAAUCAUCGAGUCUUUGAACGCACAUUGCGCCCCCUGGUAUUCCGGGGGGCAUGCCUGUCCGAGCGUCAUUGCUGCCCUCAAGCACGGCUUGUGUGUUGGGCUCCGUCCCCCCGGGGACGGGCCCGAAAGGCAGCGGCGGCACCGAGUCCGGUCCUCGAGCGUAUGGGGCUUUGUCACCCGCUCUGUAGGCCCGGCCGGCGCCAGCCGACAACCCAUCAUCCUUUUCAGGUUGACCUCGGAUCAGGUAGCGAUACCCGCUGAACUUAAGCAUAUCAAUAAGCGGAGGA